RNAcentral lists this ribosomal RNA (428 nucleotides) under uncultured bacterium. RNAcentral's name for it is "partial 16S ribosomal RNA". It matches the Rfam family "Bacterial small subunit ribosomal RNA", at positions 354 to 796 of the family's 1533-position model. The record is from RNAcentral.
GUGGGGAAUAUUGGGCAAUGGGCGAAAGCCUGACCCAGCAACGUCGCGUGAGGGAAGAAGGUUUUCGGAUUGUAAACCUCUGUCCUUGGUGGCGAACACAAUGACGGUAGCCAAGGAGGAAGCCCCGGCUAACUACGUGCCAGCAGCCGCGGUAAUACGUAGGGGGCAAGCGUUGUCCGGAAUGACUGGGCGUAAAGGGCGUGUAGGCGGCCGAUUAAGUCUGGAGUGAAAGUCCUGCUUUCAAGGUAGGAAUUGCUUUGGAGACUGGUUGGCUUGAGUGCGGAAGAGGCAAGUGGAAUUCCCAGUGUAGCGGUGAAAUGCGUAGAGAUUGGUAGGAACACCAGUGGCGAAGGCGACUUGCUGGGCCGUAACUGACGCUGAGGCGCGAAAGCGUGGGGAGCGAACAGGAUUAGAAACCCCGGUAGUCC